Molecule: ribosomal RNA, 650 nt
Filed under: uncultured bacterium
Lineage: Bacteria
Description: bacterial SSU rRNA
Rfam family: Bacterial small subunit ribosomal RNA
Source: RNAcentral
CUGGCUCAGGAUGAACGCUGGCGGCGUGCCUAACACAUGCAAGUCGAACGGGGUAUAUAAGCGGAAGUUUACGGAUGGAAGGUUAUAUACUUAGUGGCGGACGGGUGAGUAACGCGUGGGCAACCUGCCCCGUGCCGGGGGAUACCGCCUGGAAACAGGCGCUAAUACCGCAUAAGCGCAUACAGCCGCAUGGGUGUAUGCGGAAAGCUCCGGCGGCACGGGAUGGGCCCGCGCCCGAUUAGCCAGUUGGCGGGGUAACGGCCCACCAAAGCGACGAUCGGUAGCCGGCCUGAGAGGGCGGACGGCCACAUUGAGACUGAGACACGGCCCAAACUCCUACGGGAGGCAGCAGUGGGGAAUAUUGCACAAUGGGGGAAACCCUGAUGCAGCAACGCCGCGUGGGUGAAGGAGCGUUUCGGCGCGUAAAGCCCUGUCAGCGGGGAAGAAGAGAGACGGUAUCCGACCAAGAAGCCCCGGCUAACUACGUGCCAGCAGCCGCGGUAAUACGUAGGGGGCGAGCGUUAUCCGGAAUUACUGGGUGUAAAGGGAGCGUAGACGGCGAGGUAAGCCUGAAGUGGAAGCCCGCGGCCCAACCGCGGAACUGCUUUGGGAACUGUUUUGCUGGAGUAUGGGAGGGGUAAGCGGAAUUC